AGUGCUCUGGUAGAUGGAAAGGUUGCCACUGUCCCACCUCCCUGGGCCUCCCCUAUCUUUGCCGAAUUUCCCCUUUUCCACAUUUUGCCCUUCCUAGGUAGUGGGAGUCUAGUUCCUAGGUCAAUGCCAGCCAUAGCCAAGGGCACACGGUAGCAGAUGGCUGUGCAAAGCCACUUUCAGGCUGUGGAUGCAGGGCUGAGAAAUGGGAAAUCUGCCAGUGCCCAUUCCAGCUUUGACCUGGCUGGGGCAGCCUUGGGUCAAGGGCUCUCUGUAGUCCUGGUUUCCACCAUCAUCAGGAAGGGGAGCUUCAAGAGUCAUCUAGGCAGGCACCCCAGGACUGUGCCAGCUAAUGUCAGGGUGGACUGGCUCUAAGGAAAAGCUGUGACAAAGGAAACAGAGUGAGGGAAUGGAUAGCUCAAAAUGACCCUUGCCACUCCCGCUCAGAACAGCACCCCUGGCUGUGUCCUGUUGAGGGAAGACCUGGGUUUAAGCCCUGCCUCCAUCAAUCUCAAGAUAUGCAACCUGAGGGAAGGGAGGGGCGGCAUUGCCGAGGAUGUGUGCACCUGUGCAGGUACCUGC
Non-coding RNA from Ceratotherium simum simum (southern white rhinoceros), 579 nucleotides. NCBI's taxonomy places the organism in Eukaryota, Metazoa, Chordata, Mammalia, Perissodactyla, Rhinocerotidae. The record is from RefSeq and is a predicted model, not a curated record.